This 291-nucleotide ribosomal RNA is filed under the name Cyanoboletus poikilochromus. RNAcentral describes it as "Cupreoboletus poikilochromus (Boletus poikilochromus) 5.8S ribosomal RNA". Lineage: Eukaryota; Fungi; Basidiomycota; Agaricomycetes; Boletales; Boletaceae. The record is from RNAcentral.
UCGAAUUCUAACCAUGCUUUGAUUUGUUUUUCGAGGCAUGGCUUGGAGUUGGGAGUUUGCUGGCGACGAAUCGGUCGUCGGCUCUCCUUAAAUGCAUUAGCAAUGGGUGGGGCAAGUCUUUUCGACGUGCACGGCCUUUGACGUGAUAAUGAUCGUUGUGGCUGGAGCGUUUUGGGACAUGCAUGAAAUCUGUCCAUGCUUCCAAUCACCCCCUAGCUUAGGUCUGCUUGGUUAUUAGUCGGUCGUGAGGCUGGCGAACGUUGGGCAGGGACUGGCUUUUGUUUUCGAAAC